AUGACACCAAGAGACAACACAGGCAAAGGAAAGUGCCCCUUGGAAGCCCAAGUGACCCAGAACCCAAGAUAUCUCAUCACAGUGACUGGAAAGAAGUUAAAAGUGACUUGUUCUCAGAAUAUGAACCACGAGUAUAUGUCCUGGUAUCGACAAGACCCAGGACUGGGCUUAAGGCAGAUCUACUAUUCAAUGAAUGUUGAGGUGGUUGAUAAGGGAGAUGUUCCUGAAGGGUACAACGUCUCUCGAAAAGAGAAGAGGAAUUUCCCCCUGAUCCUGGAGUCGCCCAGCCCCAACCAGACCUCUCUGUACUUCUGUGCCAGCAGUUUAUCCACAGUGCUGCAUAGCCAGCUGCUCUCUGCACAAAAACAGAGGGUAGCUGCAAGAACAAGGAGACUCCUCCUUCAGAAGACCCCUCGCCGACCAACAGGAUAA
This is a non-coding RNA of Pongo pygmaeus (Bornean orangutan), 432 nucleotides long. Lineage: Eukaryota; Metazoa; Chordata; Mammalia; Primates; Hominidae. The record is from the annotation of a RefSeq genome assembly.